GUUGGGGUAGGGGUUGGAGGAGUGGUAGUUGGCUUCCAUAGUCUGCAGCCACAGCCGCAGCGUCGUCUCCGAGCACUUCAAGAAUUCACAGACCCCAAAGCGAGCGAAGAUUUUGAGACCAAGAAAAGUCAAAGGCCUUUUCUGAGUGGCAGUCUCCAGUUCAAAGACAUUAAAGUCCCAGUUGUCAUCGUUUUCCAUGGCCUCAGCUAUCCGCGGUGGGAUAUCGUGAAGGGACUCGGAGGUGAGUCAGCUGCCCGAAACUUGAUGCAGCUUUUUGUUGAGAGCGGAUGCUCAUUACCACAUAGUCUUCGAAAACCGUCAGACAUCAGGCCCCCAAUGAGGUCCUUGGUGUGAGGAUCCCCUUCCUUCGCCCCGAACUGUGGUGAAGACAGCCCCGAGGUUCUCAGAAUUUCCAGGACGCGGUCUAAGGCUUCGGUCACAGGCAUGGAGCUGUUCUCCUGGGCAGCACUGAUGAUACUGAUCACCUUGGUGAUGGGCGCCUCCAUGGUCAUGGAGUGGAUCCGGGCUGUGGAGGAGGGUCGCCUCUGGCUGGCCACUGUGGGCGGGUCAGAAUGAACAGACUCCGUGAUCUUCUCGGCCGUUGUUCCCUCGGAUGAUGGACACAUAGUGUCUAAUUUUUCCUCCCUGUCCAAUGACAGGUAUUACUUCACAUUUUGUGGUACAUUAUCUCCGUUUUGGGCGUGGUGAACGCCUUGCCACUCUUGUAUGUAGUUGUCCUCACUCGUGAUUUUAAUGGCGUCUUGGCUGUUCUCCAGUGCAGUGAAUACUGAAUUACAAGCCCUGAGUUUCAGCUGUGACCGCCCCUCUCCAAACUCCAGCUGCAGCAGCUCUGCAUAACAGGCCGCCAGGAGGCUGGGGUUCUCCACGUCCUCCUCCUAAAGCCAGCACGAAUGAGGGACAUCACAGACUCUUCUCCAUCCCGCCUGCUACUACACCAACGAUAACUGUGUUUUCUGAAACUUUUGUUGCUCCAAUAGACCUGCACAGCGUCAGGGCGUCCAGCUGCUGGGGGUUCUGUGGUCGAUGAUGAUGAUGUCCUGAUUUGCAGCCAGGAAACAGGUCAGGACAGCCUGGACCUCCAGGGCCACCGUGCACUUAAACCCUGCUUUUUCACACGCCUUACGGAGCCCUUCACACUGGCUAUCUUCUCUGACAAACGCCAACAGUACCUGUUGAUCUGCAUGGGCGCAGAAACCUCAUGGGGCCAAACUGCACGUGAGAUGUUGGACUCUGCUGAUAAUGAGAACAAGGUGCCCUGAAGCUGUGGAGAGCUUUGGACACAGGAGCCUUGGUGAUCUUUAAAACAACCUAAGCCAGAUCAUGCUCCCCCAGCCUGCCGGAGCAUUUGGAUACAUCACAAAUCCUUAACCUGGCCUCCGGGUCCUGUGUACGCCUCCCACCUCAUCCCAUGCCUUGCUAGGCUCACAGCUUUCUAACCCCAGGAGCCUCCUUCGGUUCCUCAAAACUGCCCAGUUCUCCCAUCCAAGUACUAACCAGGCCCGACCCUGCUUAGCUUCCGAGAUCAGAGGAGAUCGGGCGCGUUCAGGGUGGUAUGGCCAUAGACAAAACUGCCCAGUUCUGUGCCACCUCAGGCCUGUGGGCAGUUUCCUCUGCCUGGGACCUUUUCCCUCCACACUGUGCCCGGCUAUUGCUUGUUUGUUCUUCAGGCCUCUUCUUAGAUGCCUGUUCAAAGAAGCCGUUACUCACCAGCCCUCUCAGCCUACAUUAGGACUCCUUUAUUCACACAGAUCAUACUUUCUACAUUUGUGUGAUUAUUUGAUUAAUAUAUUUUACCCAAAAAAACGGUGUUUAUUUUGCUGAGCACUUUAUCCCUAGUGCCCAGCACAGUACCCGAUGCGUAGUAGGUGAUCAAUAUUUGUUUGAAAUAAUAUUUUUUUCUGUUGCUAUAUGGUCUUCAAAACUAUAAUCUAAGAGCUGCAUAAUACCGGAUAGUUAUCCCUUUAAUGGCUUUCCUAAGACAUUUGUUUCAUAUGCAGCUGAAAGAAUUGAAGUCUAAUGGUCAAGAGAAAAAAAUGUUCAAAGUCUCUGGACCAGCCAGCAGUAUCAGAAAUCUGAACACACUAAUAAUAACAUUAUAUGUGUACAUGGUGAGCCUCAUUUUGCUGUUGAAAGAAAAAAAAUACAGAUUAUAGGUUUUGAAAUCAAUUUAGUGGGUUGUGAGCAGCACAGCUUUUAAAAAUAGAACAGAAUGAAAAAUGUCAGAAUGCUUUGCAGGCGAGAAGAUAAGGACUGUUUUGUAAAACUUUCACAUAUAUAUAACUUGUUUCCGUUUUAUGUAAUAUAACUAUAGAUAAAGUGGAAGUAUGUAUUGGUUUGCAGUGUAAAAUAUACUUCUUUUUUUCAUAUUUGUUCUUUAUUUAAAAAUGAAAAUGUAAAGGAAUAUUCUUUACAUUAGUAGAUAAAGUACAUAUUGUGCUUGGAUUUCAUUUAAGUCUGGGUAAUUGUAUCUUUUUAAACUUAAUUAAAAAUAUUGGUAUAUCAGA
Myotis daubentonii (Daubenton's bat) is the source of this 2525-nucleotide long non-coding RNA. RefSeq lists it as uncharacterized. The record is from RefSeq and is a predicted model, not a curated record. Lineage: Eukaryota; Metazoa; Chordata; Mammalia; Chiroptera; Vespertilionidae. The transcript has 3 exons.